This 68-nucleotide transfer RNA is filed under the name Mycobacterium sp. Its description in RNAcentral is "tRNA-Arg". It matches the Rfam family "tRNA", at positions 5 to 66 of the family's 71-position model. From Rfam's summary of the family: Transfer RNA (tRNA) molecules are approximately 80 nucleotides in length. Their secondary structure includes four short double-helical elements and three loops (D, anti-codon, and T loops). Further hydrogen bonds mediate the characteristic L-shaped molecular structure. tRNAs have two regions of fundamental functional importance: the anti-codon, which is responsible for specific mRNA codon recognition, and the 3' end, to which the tRNAs corresponding amino acid is attached (by aminoacyl-tRNA synthetases). tRNAs cope with the degeneracy of the genetic code in two manners: having more than one tRNA (with a specific anti-codon) for a particular amino acid; and 'wobble' base-pairing, i.e. permitting non-standard base-pairing at the 3rd anti-codon position. Lineage: Bacteria; Bacillati; Actinomycetota; Actinomycetes; Mycobacteriales; Mycobacteriaceae. The record is from RNAcentral.
CCGUAGCUCAGGGGAUAGAGCGUCUGCCUCCGGAGCAGAAGUCCGCAUGUUCAAUUCUUGCCGGACCA